Lolium perenne is the source of this 466-nucleotide long non-coding RNA. RefSeq lists it as uncharacterized. The record is from RefSeq and is a predicted model, not a curated record. NCBI's taxonomy places the organism in Eukaryota, Viridiplantae, Streptophyta, Magnoliopsida, Poales, Poaceae.
CACAGCUUGUAGGGGUAGCCUACGUAGCAAUCAACAAAUUAUUUCUUCAGAAGUUAGGCAUCAUGAAGUGGGCUUCUUCUUCCUCGGCCUCGCUCGCACUCGUCCUGGCGAUCCUGGCUAUCGUUUGCUGCUCCCUGCCAUGCUCUGCCCUCCAAGCUAGCAAGAAGACUCCGUACGGUGAGGCCCAAGGAGGCCAUCAACCAUGGAAACCUCCGUCGCCGGGCUGUCCGCACUGCAUCUAUCGCAACGGUGAUAUGCCUCCGCCAUCUGCUGCUGCCAUGGCGGCACUCACGCCGCACCGAAAGUGCCCGCGGGACACUAGGAACUGAACGCCGUCCCAAUUAAGCUGAUGUAUGCAAUGAAAUUAUCAAUUCCAUGAGCCGCUAUAGUGAUCGCUCUUUGUUUGUUUGUUUGUUUGUACUACUUCCACCAGCGGAAAUGCUUACUGUUCCUGUGCGUGUGCCAA